Molecule: ribosomal RNA, 500 nt
Filed under: uncultured bacterium
Lineage: Bacteria
Description: partial 16S ribosomal RNA
Rfam family: Bacterial small subunit ribosomal RNA
Source: RNAcentral
AUUGAACGCUGGCGGAAUGCUUUACACAUGCAAGUCGAACGGCAGCACGGACUUCGGUCUGGUGGCGAGUGGCGAACGGGUGAGUAAUGUAUCGGAACGUGCCCAGUCGUGGGGGAUAACGUAGUGAAAAUUACGCUAAUACCGCAUACGAUCUAUGGAUGAAAGCGGGGGAUCGCAAGACCUCGCGCGAUUGGAGCGGCCGAUAUCAGAUUAGGUAGUUGGUGGGGUAAAGGCCCACCAAGCCAACAAUCUAUAGCUGGUCUGAGAGGACGACCAGCCACACGGGAACUGAGACACGGUACAGACUCCUACGGGAGGCAGCAGUGGGGAAUUUUGGACAAUGGGCGAAAGCCUGAUCCAGCCAUUCCGCGUGCAGGAUGAAGGCCCUCGGGUUGUAAACUGCUUUUGUACAGAACGAAAAGGUUUCUACUAAUACUAGGAGCUCAUGACGGUACUGUAAGAAUAAGCACCGGCUAACUACGUGCCAGCAGCCGCCGUAA